This 734-nucleotide long non-coding RNA is filed under the name Hordeum vulgare. RNAcentral describes it as "long non-coding RNA (HVUL_LNC012541)". The record is from RNAcentral. Lineage: Eukaryota; Viridiplantae; Streptophyta; Magnoliopsida; Poales; Poaceae.
UUUUGAAGGUAGGACCUUACUGCCACCCGACUAUCACGAGGGGGCCCUUGCCAUGCUAGCCUAACAUUUGCAUCCACGCCAAAUCCGCAGCACGGCAGAUAUAUUUAUGGAAACACCAUCUACGUCUAGUGCCAAAAAGCGCCAAGAACAUAGCAGUCGUAUAAUUUGUAAUCACUCCCACAAAGAAGAAAGCCGAAAGAAAAAACAACCUAUAAUUCGAGGCUCCUCGCCCACAAACUACCACUGGCAAAGCCGGAGUGAGGCCAGCUGACUGAACUGAGCGACAGGAGGAUCUCUGCGGCCGGACCAUGUGAGUUCCUGUCAAAUCACCCGUACUAGUACAUCACAUGUGGAGCUACAGAGACAAGGGAAUUAAGAGGAGGUUCCCAGCAGAGCUUCAUCGUCAUGCUUGCCUCCGCACAUCAGAUCAAGGGAAUUAGAUGGACGGCCCAGAUGGAGCGAAUCUCGAUCGCCGGAACCCAGAUGCAGAGCUUCAUUCCCCGGGGAUCCAGAUCGGGUUCUCUCGUACGCGCGCAUGCAGACCUGCGACUGGGUGGAGUAAAAUCACGUGCUGCGAGCAAAGCGGGCAAGUGCUACCGGCUCGAACCUGGACCUGGAUCAAGUAAUCAUCAAGACAGUUCUGGCAAAUACUAAGAUAUACCUGUGUCUGUCUGCCAGUCAGUCUUCAGUUGCUCGGCCACUUCUCACGAUCAUCUCCAUUUAUUACACACAUU